Molecule: ribosomal RNA, 440 nt
Filed under: uncultured bacterium
Lineage: Bacteria
Description: bacterial SSU rRNA
Rfam family: Bacterial small subunit ribosomal RNA
Source: RNAcentral
CCUACGGGUGGCUGCAGUGGGGAAUAUUGCACAAUGGGGGAAACCCUGAUGCAGCAACGCCGCGUGAGCGAUGAAGGCCUUCGGGUCGUAAAGCUCUGUCCUGAGGGAAGAAUACUGACGGUACCUUAGGAGGAAGCCCCGGCUAACUACGUGCCAGCAGCCGCGGUAAUACGUAGGGGGCUAGCGGUAUCCGGAAUGACUGGGCGUAAAGGGUGCGUAGGCGGCCCUGCAAGUCAGAGGUGAAAGGCUACGGCUUAAACGUAGUAAGGCUUUGAAACUGUAGGGCUUGAGUGCAGGAGAGGAGAGUGGAAUUCCCAGUGUCGCGGUGAAAAGAGUAGAUAUUGGGAGGAACGCCAGUUGCGAGCGCGGGUAUCUGGACUGUAACUGACGCUGAGGCACGAAAGCGUGGGGAGCGAACAGGAUUAGGUAACGCAGUAGUC